CCCAAACAAUAUUUUCUGGGGACUUAAAAAAGGAAAUGUGUAAGAUGUCGAAAAUUGACGGCCACCUAUGGAUUGCAGGCCUAGAAAACAUCCCUAGGAAGGGAUAAGAAUCAAUUUUAGCUCAUUUGUUUAGUGUGGCCUGAGUUUCACCUAUUAUCCUUUUCUGUUUUGCAUAGGGAUCUUGGCAAAAUCACCAACAAAUGCAUGAAGGAAGCUGAAGGCAAUUUGAGUAAUGGUUCCAUAGAAAUUGAAGAAACAUGGAUGUCUCCGAAGGAGAGUAGAGAGCUUGGUUAGUUGUAUCCUAAAAUUAGGAUGCAAUUAAGGUACGUCUCCUUUUUGAGUUCAAUUGAAAUGCUUUGUUCUUUCCAUGUCAGAGAAUUUCUUCUCUUUUUUCCUCAGUCUGUCUCUCUCUCCCUCUCUCUCCUGUCUUCCUUUUCUUCCUCUCAUUAGCAGAUGUCUUUUAUAAUUGAUGUUGUUCACGUCCUUUCAUCAAAUGUAUGCCACAUCACUUAGGCAAACCAGCAGACACGGCACCUAAAUACACAUUAGCGAAGAAUGGCAUCCCGGAGACGCGUCGACUGUCUCAUCAGGGCAGUUAUAAUAAGCAUCUUGGUGCCACUGAAUGCAAUGCUGUAUUCAAACAGUAGCUUUCAUCUUCACUCUUUUUAAAUAUAAAAGUAAACCUUGAAGCCCUUUGAAGGACCUAACCAACAACAUACAUAUGAAAAUAGAUCAGUAAGGCUUUGAGAAAUACCGUGAUGUAAAAAUCUGUAAAGCAUCUUUGCAUUUUUUUCCAAGAAAGACCUCCAGGUAAAUGAUGGCUUUUAAUAAGACACAUGACAGUCUCAAUUAUGAGAAUCAUUAUUGUGUGCCCUGUGUGCCAUUUUGUGUUCCCAGCAGGAUACCUUUUUUUUUCCACAUCAAGAAUUUCCAGGGCUGUCUACUGUUGUCUGAGUAAAGUACAUUGAAUGUUUCCCCGAAGCUGCACUAAUUCAAAGGAAAAAAAAAAAAAGCAAAACACACAGCAACGACAACAAAAAUUUUCUCAAGUGGUCAGACAGACUGGAACUAGUGGAUUUAUAGAGCACAGACUGGACUCUGCCACGAAUGUGGAUGGGCUUGCAAGCUGGUUCUCGUGUUUGACAGUCGCAGACAUCUGCGGUGAGCUUUGUACCUGGCCAGACAAGGACUCAGAAAAUUUGUUUUCCACGUACUUGAUGCUUCUCAUUUCGCAUUGCUCAGUCAUCUUAGAAUAGCUUUACUCCAAGGGUCUAUGUGCUGUAGUAGCUCACAUGACCUCAUGGAACUUGCGUUUGUUAGGGUAACAAUGCAGCAAUGAAAACGUAGUGAGAAAAUACAAAUUUAAGAUUCAACAUCUAUUUCGGCAAGUAAAAGAUAUUCUACAUUCAAGUCUAUUUACCUUCCUAUGUUUCAAAUGUUGAAAAAUCCAAAAAAUAUUUCACAGAAGAAUGAGGAGGCAGAGGAGGGGAAAAAAGAAAAAGAAGAAGAAGAAGAAGGGUAAGAGGAGGACAGAGGGAGGAGGCAGGAGGUGGAGAAAAAUACUGAGGUUUUAGAACUAGAUAAGAAGUAUUUCACUUAUCACAAAGCAUAAAGCAUUCAGCAGUCUUUGUCCCAGAGAAAAAUAAUGAAAAGAAUCCAUUAAGCAUCUUUGCUCUUCAGACAAAAAAAAAAAAAAAAAAAAUAGAUAUUUAUAUUUUAUGACAUUUUGAGAUCAGAUGCAUUUGCCUGUGGCUCUCUGGUAGAAGUAGGGGGAAGAGCUGGGUGGAGAUGCUGCCUUUCAUGUGGCAACAAUGUGAUAACACUGGUCUGAAAGAACUGUGAAAGUUUAGUUUCUUAAAAACAUUGGUCAGGUAAGAAAAAGUGAAGAGAGAAAAGCAAGAGAGGAGAAAAUGUGUAUUGUUGUAGUGAAACAUUCUAAACUCUACAUGUUAUCUUUGAGUUGAGAUAAAAUAAAAGUUCAUUUAGAAGAUGAAUGUUUAAAAGGAAUAAGAGCUAGAGCUACAAUGAUAGUCCCAAAAGUUGGGAAAGUAACUCUUGACUGACCCAGGAACUUUGCUGAGGCCCUGGGAGGAGAGGAGCUAGUGACUGAAUUGGUACUAGAAUGUGCAUUGGCCUCUGGCCCUGUUUUUAAUUUUUUUUUUUGAGUUUUAGGUAAGUCACGUAUCUUUACUGUCUUCUUUUCCGGUUUUAUGAAUAAAGUGACUCGAUUAGACAGGUUGAUAAAAAUACAAAGAAUUGGAAAUUUAAGUAAAUAAUGUAUUUUUUUAAUUGAGUUUAUUGGUACAAUCUAGGUAUACAGUACAGUUACAUUCAUCAUUGGGAUUCUGUACCUUUACAUAAUAGGUCUUGAUUCUCAUUUUUUCCCCUUGUCCCUGCCCUCCCUUCCCCCCCUCCUCCCCUCCCCAUUUACAAACACUUUAUUUCCAUUUUUCCAGUUUCUCAUAUUUUUUUCCUCUCCCUUAUUACCUUUCCCCCACCCUUCUCACUUGCCCUACACCUUUAGCCCUUUACUUCCUAUUUCACAUUAUUAAUUAUCUCAUUGGGAUCCUGUGUACUAUUAUAGUUUUUCAC
This is a long non-coding RNA of Fukomys damarensis (Damara mole-rat), 2592 nucleotides long. NCBI's taxonomy places the organism in Eukaryota, Metazoa, Chordata, Mammalia, Rodentia, Bathyergidae. The record is from Ensembl.